GUGUAGUAGGAUGGGAGAGAUGUUUAGCAUUCUUCUAGACAAGAUGAAACACAUAUAAAACAUAUAUAGAAAUAUAAGACCGACAAAAUUUAU
RNAcentral lists this non-coding RNA (93 nucleotides) under Melipona quadrifasciata. The record is from RNAcentral. Lineage: Eukaryota; Metazoa; Arthropoda; Insecta; Hymenoptera; Apidae.